This is a long non-coding RNA of Sinocyclocheilus grahami, 147 nucleotides long. RefSeq lists it as uncharacterized. The transcript is spliced from 3 exons. The record is from RefSeq and is a predicted model, not a curated record. Lineage: Eukaryota; Metazoa; Chordata; Actinopteri; Cypriniformes; Cyprinidae.
UGGGCUUCCAACCGCCAUUGUUCCCCUGGGCUGGCGAGCCCACCAACCUACCUUCAGUCAUAGACUGGUUACAACGCAGUGAGGAGGUCUGGGACCAAGCUCAUACCCACUUGCUACAUGCUGUGAGAAGAACAGAACAACAGGCCA